GGAUGUAGCGCAGUUGGUAGCGCGCUUGGUUUGGGACCAAGAUGUCGCAGGUUCGAAUCCUGUCAUCC
Molecule: transfer RNA, 68 nt
Filed under: Treponema saccharophilum
Lineage: Bacteria; Pseudomonadati; Spirochaetota; Spirochaetia; Treponematales; Treponemataceae
Rfam family: tRNA
About the family: Transfer RNA (tRNA) molecules are approximately 80 nucleotides in length. Their secondary structure includes four short double-helical elements and three loops (D, anti-codon, and T loops). Further hydrogen bonds mediate the characteristic L-shaped molecular structure. tRNAs have two regions of fundamental functional importance: the anti-codon, which is responsible for specific mRNA codon recognition, and the 3' end, to which the tRNAs corresponding amino acid is attached (by aminoacyl-tRNA synthetases). tRNAs cope with the degeneracy of the genetic code in two manners: having more than one tRNA (with a specific anti-codon) for a particular amino acid; and 'wobble' base-pairing, i.e. permitting non-standard base-pairing at the 3rd anti-codon position.
Source: RNAcentral